Molecule: ribosomal RNA, 163 nt
Filed under: uncultured bacterium
Lineage: Bacteria
Description: partial 16S ribosomal RNA
Rfam family: Bacterial small subunit ribosomal RNA
Source: RNAcentral
GACGCCGCGUGUGGGAGGAAGCUCUUCGGGGUGUAAACCACUGUCAGGAGGGAAGAAACUCGCCGUACCGAAUAGGGCCGGCGAUUGACGGUACCUCCAAAGGAAGCGCCGGCUAACUCCGUGCCAGCACCCUCGGUGACUGAGCGGGCUGGCAAGGCGCAUA